AAGUUAAGGAAUCCAAGAAAAAGCUUCUAACUUAUUCUUAAGCGGUGAAAUCCGUUUUUAACUUU
This 65-nucleotide transfer RNA is filed under the name Hypothenemus sp. BMNH 1040003. RNAcentral's name for it is "tRNA-Ser". RNAcentral also lists the same sequence under 1 other name. The record is from RNAcentral. Lineage: Eukaryota; Metazoa; Arthropoda; Insecta; Coleoptera; Curculionidae.